CCGCCGGCUCCAGGUCAGGGCGAGCGAGCGGGGAUCAUACUGGAUUUUGUCACCAUUCACCCAUAAUUCUCUGUGUAGUCUAGGUGUGGCACGUACAUCAGGAAUAUCUGACCCCGCCACAGUGGAAGUACUGGCAGCUUCAUUUUCUCCAGGCUGUUUGCUUCCUGCUCCCUUGCCCUCUGGGCUGACACAUACUGAUCUCAGGAGCUCACCCUCACUGGAAAGACAGUCCUGAAACGUCCAGCCCUUUGGAGCUUUACCCCAGUCUGCGUUCUCAAGGGAAGGUCUUUUGAGAUCAAAAGAGUUCCCAUUUAACAUGGAGGACGAGUUCUUUGGAGAAGAAAGCUUCCAACAUUGUUGUGCAGAAUUCAUCAGACAUUCACAACAGAUAGGCGAUGGCUGGGAAUGGAGAACGGCCAAGGAAUGUUCUGAUGGCUACAUGUGCAAAACACAGUUUCAAAUAAAGAAAGAGACUCCAGCACCACAUCAGGGAACACCCGCCAGUGUGCACACGUGUCUCCCCACAGAGUGAAAGCAGCAAUUGUGGUGUAUGGUGAGAGUCUAGACAUCCUUCAUACCUUUCCUCGGCUCUGAAGGCCCACAGGACUUCCUGUCGUUUUGGUUUUUAUCCAGUGACAUCUCCACCGACACAGAUCUGACUCUGCCUACUCUGCCUUUGGCAGCUUUUCUAGUCAUUUGGAAAUGUGUAGACUCUGGGUCUCUCAUUCUUUAGGAAAAUCUGAUUGACUUGAGACAUUUACAAAAUUAAACGUUAUUAAAGCACUGA
Molecule: long non-coding RNA, 787 nt
Organism: Rattus rattus (black rat)
Lineage: Eukaryota; Metazoa; Chordata; Mammalia; Rodentia; Muridae
Exons: 5
Source: RefSeq, a predicted model, not a curated record